UUAGCAGUGCAUGUAAAAAAAUCUCACUUUGGGUUGGAUCUUUGAUGCAAUUGAAUUGUUCCGCUUGGCUUCUGAGCUAU
This is a small nucleolar RNA of Rosa rugosa (rugosa rose), 80 nucleotides long. RefSeq annotates it as small nucleolar RNA R24. The record is from RefSeq and is a predicted model, not a curated record. The transcript has a single exon. NCBI's taxonomy places the organism in Eukaryota, Viridiplantae, Streptophyta, Magnoliopsida, Rosales, Rosaceae.